RNAcentral lists this ribosomal RNA (494 nucleotides) under uncultured bacterium. RNAcentral describes it as "partial 16S ribosomal RNA". It matches the Rfam family "Bacterial small subunit ribosomal RNA", at positions 28 to 507 of the family's 1533-position model. The record is from RNAcentral.
GACGAACGCUGGCGGCGUGCUUAACACAUGCAAGUCGAACGGUGAAGCGCCUUCCUUUUUGGUGGGUGUGGAUGAGUGGCGAACGGGUGAGUAACUCGUGAGUAACCUUCCCCCUUCUUCUUGAUAACCGCAUGAAAGUGUUGCUAAUACGGGAUAUUCUGGGUCUGUCGCUUCAUGGGUCUGGGACAGAUUUUGUUUCGGUUGUGGAUGGGCUCGCGGCCUAUCAGCUUGUUGGUGGGGUGAUGGCCUACCAAGGCGGUGAUGCGUAGCCGACCUGAGAGGGUGGGCGACCACACAGGGACGGAAAGGCGGAGCAGACUACUAGGGGAAGCAGCAGGGAAGAAUAUGGCACGAGCGAAGGAAGGAUGAAGCAACGACGCGGCGUGAAGGAUGGAGGCCGGAGCGUUGAGAACCGCUAUCAGGAGUGAAGAAAGGUGGCAUCGUUUGUGCGUGGGUUGACGGUAGCUGGAGAAGAAGCGACGGCUAACUACGUG